This 566-nucleotide unclassified non-coding RNA is filed under the name Hevea brasiliensis (rubber tree). The record is from RNAcentral. Lineage: Eukaryota; Viridiplantae; Streptophyta; Magnoliopsida; Malpighiales; Euphorbiaceae.
GUUAAACAUUCCGCGAACACAAAAUGCAUAGGGAGAGAGAAGAAGAAAUAAAAAGAAAAAAAGAAAAAGAUAAAUUAAAAUACAUGUUUAGAGAGAGAAACACAUACAAAUACAGCACAACAAGCAGCAAUCAGAACCUCUCUCAGUUGCCUCAUACAAAUCCAUUAAUCUUAAUCUUAAUUUUAAUUUUCUGCUUAAAUCUGCUCCUCCUAAUGUAAAACACUUCAGAGAAAAUCGCUAACCUUUCUCUCGCAUUUUUCUUUUUCGUUUUCUUUCUCAUUUCGUUUCGUUUACUCUCUUUUUUCUCUUCCAAAUGGUGGUGAUGAUGGAGGAUAAUGACAGUUCUGGAAUCAGAGUUCACGAUACAACGACGUUGCUUUCUUCUUCGCCGGCGCCUUCACCUGUACAGGGACGACAACAGAGACAGAAGCUAGAGGUGUACAAUGAGGUUCUUCGUCGGCUUAAAGAAUCAAACAAUGAAGAGGCUAAUCGGCCUGGCUUUGACGACGAACUCUGGUCUCACUUUCAUCGUCUUCCUACUCGAUAUGCAUUGGAUGUGAAUGUGG